This 237-nucleotide unclassified non-coding RNA is filed under the name Hevea brasiliensis (rubber tree). Lineage: Eukaryota; Viridiplantae; Streptophyta; Magnoliopsida; Malpighiales; Euphorbiaceae. The record is from RNAcentral.
AAAAGAGAAAGAUCCUCGCUUAGCUAGGAUUUCCUCUUCAAUCAGGGUCAUCCCUGACUUCCCCAAAAAAGGGGUUUUGUUUCAGGAUAUAACGACCUUGCUUCUCGAUACUGAGGCGUUCAAGGACACAAUAGAUUUGUUUGUUGAGAGAUAUAAAGGGAAAGGGAUCUCUGUCGUUGCAGGUAUUGAGGCAAGAGGUUUUAUAUUUGGCCCUCUAAUUGCAUUGGCUAUUGGAGC